UGACUGAACAAUACUAUAGAGUAGACUACAAUACUGUGUUACUGUACUACUUUAUAGAUGCUUACAGGGCCAAUCAGCAGUUUAAAUAUUAACAAAGCAUCCUCCCCGCCAUUGUUUCGGCAAAAAGCUGAGUGAUGGGGCUGGAGAAAUGUAACCACUAUAAAGUUCAUAGACAGAGCUAUGGAUACAGGUACUGACCAUCCAUGAUAUCAACAUUAUAGUUCUGCAGCCAUGUUUUGAGGCUUUAGUGUUAAUUUACAUUUACUUUGUUUACAAACAUUGGAGUAAAAUAAGCUUAUAUUUUGGGUUCUGAUGAUUCUUCAAGAAUCAAUGGGUAACAUAUCAUUAAGUUCAUUAAGUCCAAAAAUUGAUGUAGCAAUUGCUGAUUGAUCCUUUUAAGUCUCUGUCCAAAAUGUAAUGAUGAGAGAGGGUUCCUGUGUGUUAGAAAGACUGUCCUCUGUGUGUAGACACCCAACUUCAAACCUACAACACAGUGUCUUGUCUCACGUCUUGUCUUGGUGCCCUGCUAAUAUCAAGAUCCAUCACAUACUUCUGAGCUCUUAUUGAUUUCUGACUCCAGUUGAGAACCAGUUGAAUGAAUGGAUAUGUGAAUGAUCUGGAAGUUGUAUUUUAUGGACAGUGUAACAAGCUAGAGAGAGAGAUCAACUAUUGACAUGGAUAUCCAUUUAAUAUUAACUCUGAGAGGUGCAUUGGAUCAAAAAUGUGCCCUCCUUAUAAGCAAAUGAGAGUUGAGUGCAUAAUACUGUUGUUUUCAUUUAUAAACAACAACACAGAACUCCUGAUUUAGACUUAUUGCUGGAGGGUAAGUAGCUCCUCAGCUGACUGCUGGUUUUAACACAACACUCUUAUCUAGGGAUCAACUUAGGCUCUACUCAGCCCUACUCAGAUCCUUUCACAAUGCAUCUAUCCAUCCGUCUCUCCAGGAUUCUGCGAUGGCAAUUUUGUUUGCAAAAUCAACAAUUCCCUGCAUGUUAUGUGAGGGCUUGCAAAUUUGACCAUUCACUCUACUAUUUUUUGCAUAAAAAUGUCAAAUCGUUGAAAUGUUAUCGCAUAAAACUGACCCAUUGCUGCAGUACAAAAAGAGGGGCUGCAAUUUCAACCCAUCACCGCACAAAUAAUAUGGUUCAAUAAAGCGACACAUCAACAAACAUUUUCCAUUGUCAGUGCAUUUUUGUGACAAAUUGGACAAAAUCAUCACACAUAAUCCUGGAGAGGCUGAUCCUUCCUUCCUUGAAGUAACCACUGAUCUAACAGUAUAAGAUCAAGGCUAGGUGACAGCUAUCAUAGAUUUGACCAGUCCAGUUAUGUCAUUCACUGAUAUUAAGGAGGAUAAUGACAUGAAUGACAAAGGUUGGGUUCUCAUGGUAACUGAUUGAUUAACUGCUAUAUACAGUGCUUUCGGAAGACAUUCAGACCCCUUGACAUUUUUCCAUAUUUUUGCUAAUUUAUUAAAAAAAAAAUCAAAUUUACCUAAGUAUUCAGACCCUCUACUCAGUACUUUGUUGAAGCAUCUUUGGCAGCGGCUACAGCCUCGAGUCUUCAUGGGUAUGACGCUACAAGCUUGGCAUACCUGUAUUUGAGGGGUUUCUCCCAUUCUUCUCUGCAGAUCCUCUCAAACUCUGUCAGGUUGGAUGGGGAGCGUUGCUGCACAGAUAUUUUCAGGUCUCCAGAGAUGUUAGAGCAGGUUCAAGUCUGGGCUCUAGCUGAGCCGCUCAAGGACAUUCAGAUACUUGCCCUGAAGCCACUCCUGCAUUGUCUUGGCUUUGUGCACUCCUGCGUUGUCUUGGCUUUGAGACUUGUGCAUGAAGCUGCUCCCCAAUUCACCACAAGGGCAGUGAGCUGUAAGCGAGAGUAUGCAAGCAACUGGUAAGCAAGCAUGUAACUUACCUCUACCAUGGCACUACUGCACUAGACUCGUCACAUGCACCCUGCAGUUGCCCGCCGAUAUAUACACACAGACACACACACACACAGACAGCGGGAUGAAUGAGUGACCUGUUCCCAGGCUGAUCAGAAUUGUCAACCUAUUCAGUCUGUAUUUAUUCAGCUUCAUCCAUUCUCUACCACUGUAAAUAUUAACUUCCACUGUAAUGUUGGCCAUGUUCCAGACCUGGGGAGUGUACUUUCCAUAACUGAAGAUUCCAUGGCUUUGAUCAUAAACAACCAUAGGAUUAUUAAAUGCGCCCUGGCUCAGACACAAUCUGAUUAGAAUGUCAAAUGAGACACACACACACACACACCAGCCAGGCAGUGGAGAAUGGUUUGCAGUCAGGAGUCAUGAGGAAGGACAAUUGGAUUCCACGUUCUUGUGACUGGAUUGAAUACUAUCUAGUGCUCUUCAAAUGAACAGAUUGCCUUUAGUCUGGAAUGAAGACACCCCCCACACUUUCUCUUACUUAUUCAUUUUUUUCACUCAGUCUCCCUCCCUCUCUCUGUAUGUCUGUCCCUUUCUGUAUGUCUCUGUAUAUGUGUAUAUUAAUAUCAGCCAUUGCAUGCGGCUCUGACAUACUCUACAACUCCUCUUGUAUUGAAGACUCCCAAAUCAGGUUUACACUCCUCCGUUACACAGUGUGUCUCUCUCACUGAAGUGGAAGAGGUGUCGGCUGCUUGCCUGAGGCUGUUUCGGCAGGCAAAAUAUACACACGCAUUGUCAGUCUCCAGUGCUCAGUGAUCACCAGUCAGGUUAGAACAUGCAGGUGGCUUUACUUCCUUGUCAGUGUUAACAGACAUGUUAUCAUGUUACAGCAAGACAGAGGAAGGUGUGUGUAUGUGAGGUCACAGGAUUACGCUUAAGCUCAUAGCACCUCGAGCAGUGUGUGUGUUGUGUGUCCGUCCCCUGAGGGAAGCAGAGAAAACAGGAAGACCGAGAAAGAAAACCCAGGAAAAGAGAGCUAGAAACUCAGAGGGACGUUCUGCCUCUUCUGAGCCAGAUGGGGCUGACGAUGCUUUAAACCCCUGCUCUGUUUUUCUGUCAGUCUGUCUGCAGUCUCUGCUGCUGCUCUGCAGCCAUUCAGCUGAUUUGGUGGGAAAUGACCCGUAUAGGUCUCGCUUUUAUUCCCUCCCUCUGGUGGUGUGUGGUUGUAUGUGUGGUCUGUGGUAAAUCCGAAGCUCGAGCCAGUGUAUCGGUUGAGUAGUCAAAUAGCACAGAUCCUUGUCGAUCUGCAGCAUGGGCAUUUCCUCUCUAGUUCAUUCUCUCUCUGUGUCUGGAUUUAGACUGUCAGCUGAAUGCUAUUAAAAUGUGACUGCUCAAAGCAUAAACACAACUGAACAGAAGGGGGACGUGUGUGUGGGUCAACCAGUUUGUGAAAGAGAAUAGAGCCUGCUGUCCUGGCUACGCACAAACAGGUCGUCCACCAGACAGUGGGACUGAUGUUUAAAGAAGGUGCGUGUUCUAUUGCCACUCUGGCUUUUCAUAGCAGUACUAGAAAAUUGGCUUGGGAGAUAUACUGUAUUUCAAAAUAAUAUUUUCUUUGCGGGGUUUGGUGGGUGCGAUGCCAUUUGCUUAAAUUUUAAUUUAAGUAUAACUAAGAAAUCGAAGAUGUGCCAAAUAAAUUAAAACCAGGUCAGGGCUCCAGGUAUGCAUUUGGUUGGUAACUUGCUGGUGAAGUGGCUAGAUGUCAAGAUUAAGCUUCUUGGUUACUGCAGAGACAUUCAAUCCCCUCCUGGAUCCAGAUUCGUGUUGCCUAAAUGUAUUUGUUUGCCCAUUCGAUAAUACCGUAUACCCUGGUAUGGUACAGAAACGGUAUGAAAAUCUGGGUUCUGCCCAACCCUACAAGAAAAGCAAACAUGAAAAUAGUAUGCAGCAUUGUCCAUAGGCCUUCUGUAUGCAUGGGUAUUUUUGAAACUGGGCCUAUUUUUCAUUGGGUGGUCUGAGAAUUAAUACGGUUCAUUUGUUUAUUCCCAGCACAUUAAUAAAAGUUUGAGUGACCCCGCUUAUGAUUACAGCUAAGCACACUCUUUAGGGAUUUAGGGAUCAAUUCCUCAGUUCAAAAGGCUGGAGAUCAGCAAUAACCCUGCCUGAUUUGUGUAACAGAAUAAUAUAGGCCUUUGGCCUCACCACUCAGAAUGACACUAGUAUCCAUAAUUAGCUCCAGAUUUAGCUCCAGCUCUCCUCCCCUUAGGGGCUAGGAGACAGACGAAACAGGAGGGAGCGUCUGUUGAUUGAUGCUCUCUCUCAGCCAAGGCCAUCGGCAGUGAUACUAUGAGCAAAGCUGGCAAAUCAGAGGUCAAGAAGCAUUUGCAGAUGUCAAUGUCAGUAAAUUCAGCAUUCUUCUCUUUGCCCACCUCAAACCCUCCAGACCAUUUAGGGUGUUAUUGCAGAGGGAAGCUCUUUGAUUGGUUUAACAUGUCCAAGGAAUGGCUGAAUCUGGGUUGUUCAGUAAUAUUGUAGGGAGAGGAAGAGCAGGGGCAAUCAGAGUUGAUUUGAAGGGGUUUUCUGAAGUGUGAGAGUGGAGGGGUGGGUAGGAUGGAAGGAAAAGAGACAGGCUAUAGGGGGAGAUGUUAGAAAGUGUUAGUUGAAAUCGGAAGUAGGUCUCUUCCUCUGGUCUGGCGCUUGUAACUUCCUGUGGGCUGAUAUCACAGGAGAAUAUAUGUUUUUUGUUCUGUGGUGACUGAUGUCAUGACCCUUUCCAUCCUGUCCUGUCUUUCUCUCUCCUGUCCAAUCCUUCUCUCUCCCAUUUAGCUAGGUCAGUCUCUCCCAUUCUAGUCUCCUCCUUCCCCCUGUGACCCGACCCAUCUACCCUUUCAGGAUUUGUCAGUGUUUGCACCAAAACACAGAAGCAUACAGAAAUAAGGGAAGUCAUGUUUAUCUAUGUAGAUAUGUGGUGGGCUGAAUGUUUUGAUUGGUUUCCCAGGAUCUGAGUGGUUUGGUCUCCCUCCACAUUGGUUCUAAAUCUCAGAGAGGCUUUACAGGCUGCUUUGAGAAGAGCUGCUCUUCCCUCAACGGUGGGGAACACGUACGCAAGCUGGAGUGGUGGCGGGGGUUGGUGAGAACAGAGGGGUAGUCUGCAGGGAAUCAUAUGGUACAUCAGCAUCCUCUCUGAACGCAGUUUAGGCUGCUGAAAAUUCGACACUGCAAGUGGAUGCGAUAACCACUACGGUCAAGAUUGAAAAGAUGAAUCGAUUCUAUUUGAUGUCUUCAGAACAGGAUUCCAGUGUUGAAGAGCCUUAGUUCCCAUCUGCUGUGGGUAGAGGAGCUAGAGGAAGGGGGAGAAGAGCAAGGUGUAGAGCUGCAGAAAGAACCCGGAAGUCCGUGAGGGCUGAAAGACAGGAGAGGGUGACCCAGAUAAAGGCUAGGUUGAGAAAGCUGUCCUUUGAGGAAAGGUGCUGGAGCAGUUCGCUACCUGUUCACUUGGCAUGAUGUUUGACAUAAUGGAUUUGUAGAUGGCUAUCCCAGGAUCUCCAGACAUCCCAGACUGAGGACAACCUCGCUGGUGCACCUACCUGAAAUUGACGGGAGAUGCCCGUUGACCUGGGGCCGGUUGCACCAGUUGGUCAUAAGAGGUUCAUAACUCUACGUCCAACGUAAAAUUCACUCUAAACUGGACUUAAAAAUUAUACGUGUUGCCCCACUUGGGUGUAAGCCCUUCUAAACUGAGCAAAAAAAGAAAUGUCCCUUUUUCAGGAUGCAGUCUUUCAAAGAUAAUUUGUGAAAAUUCCAAUAACUUCAGAUCUUCAUUGUCAAGGGUUUGAACACUGUUUCCCAUGCAUGUUCAAUGAACCAUAAACAAUUAAUGAGCAUGCACCUGUGGAAUGGUCGUUAAGACACUAACAGCUUACAGACAUUAGGCAAUUAAAGUCACAGUUAUGAAAACUUAGGACACUAAAGAGGCCUUUCUACUGACUCUGAAAAACACCAAAAGAAAGAUGCCCAGGGUCCCUGCUCAUCUGCGUGAACGUGCUUUAGGCAUGCUACAAGGAGGCAUGAGGAUUGCAGAUAUGGCCAGGGCAAUAAAUUGCAAUGUCCGUACUGUGAGACGGCUAAGAGUGCUACAGGGAGACAGGACGGAAAGCUGAUCGUCCUCGCAGUGGCAGACCUACGUGUUACAACACCUGCACAGGAUCGGUACAUCCGAACAUCACACCUGCGGGACAGGUACAGGAUGGCAACAACAACUGGCAACACAGCAUCAUCGGACUGAGCUUGUUGUUAUUGCAAGCAAUCUCAACGCUGUGCGUUAUAGGGAAGACAUCCUCCUCCCUCAUGUGGUACCCUUCCUACAGGCUCAUCCUGACAUGACCCUCCAGCAUGACAAUGCCACCAGCCAUACUGCUUGUUCUGUGUGUGAUGUCAGUGUUCUGCCAUGGCCAGCGAAGAGCCCGGAUCUCAAUUCCAUUGAGCAUGUCUGGGACCUGUUGGAAUGGAGGGUGAGGGCUAGGGCAGAGGAGGAGAUGCUGGCCACACCAGAUACUGACUUACUUUGAUUUUUCCCCCCCUUUGUUCAGGGACACAUUAUUCAAUUUCUGUUCGUCACAUGUCUGUGGAACUUGUUCAGUUUAUGUCUCAGUUGUUGAAUCUUAUGUUCAUACAAAUAUUUACACAUGUUAAGUUUGCUGAAAAUAAACGUAGUUGACAGUAAGAGGACGUUUCUUUUUUUGCUAAGUUUAUGUACUAUGCCUGGGCUUGGAUUCUACGCCUAGUAGGGAGCAGGCGUAGGCCCCAAUUUAACACACAUCUUCAUCAUGAUUGCUAUAAUUUUCUAUGCACAUCUUGUGUGUCCAUAAUUCACAACCUCCGCAGGCUUUUGGAGUUGCCUAGAUGCGAAAAUCAAUAUUUAUUAUAAUGGUUGGAGGACUUUGGGAGUUUCAGUAAGCAACAAUUUGAUACAUGCCUUGCAUUAGCCUAUUAUUGCAAUAUUUUCUUUAUAUGGAUCGUGCAUGUAUAGUGGUGGGCUAUGCAAACUGACAUGCCUCGCAAGCAGCGCAUAAAAUUGACAUUUUGGCCCACCAGCCAAUGUGGCAUGUAGAUAAAAUAAAUCUACCAACCAACUUAGAUUUUUUACCAGCCCAAAUAUUUUUUUGCCAAAAUUACUGAGGGAAAAAAUGCCUUGUAAUGUUUCAAAACAAGAAAUCUAUUAGUAAGAAGUAAUGUGGUAUAUUACUCAAUACUCAAUAUAUUACUCAAUACUUCAUAUGAACCUAAGUUCCGUCAAUAUCGGGAAACCGGGCCCAGGGCAAUGGUAGUUCAGUACUUUGCCAUAUCAGUAUUUCAUCUGAAUGUUAUUUUGUUUUAUCUUAUUUGUCUUGUGGUAUUUUUGCACAACUGCUAUUGUUAAUUUUUUUACUUGCACUGUGGUCUUUGUUAGUUUGAGAAGGUUACAGAGUAUCUUGUGUUCUUAUAAAAUAUCUGUAAUAAACCUUUAUUUGACAUGA
Long non-coding RNA from Salvelinus fontinalis (brook trout), 7392 nucleotides. RefSeq lists it as uncharacterized. Lineage: Eukaryota; Metazoa; Chordata; Actinopteri; Salmoniformes; Salmonidae. The transcript is spliced from 4 exons. The record is from RefSeq and is a predicted model, not a curated record.